GUAAUUAUAAAUUAAUGGUAAAUUAUCUAUCUUCCAAAUAGACUAUAUGAGUUCAAGUCUCAUUAAUUACA
RNAcentral lists this transfer RNA (71 nucleotides) under Gefionella okellyi. RNAcentral describes it as "tRNA-Gly". It matches the Rfam family "tRNA". From Rfam's summary of the family: Transfer RNA (tRNA) molecules are approximately 80 nucleotides in length. Their secondary structure includes four short double-helical elements and three loops (D, anti-codon, and T loops). Lineage: Eukaryota; Malawimonada; Malawimonadea; Malawimonadida; Malawimonadidae. The record is from RNAcentral.